This 374-nucleotide ribosomal RNA is filed under the name uncultured organism. RNAcentral's name for it is "partial 16S ribosomal RNA". It matches the Rfam family "Bacterial small subunit ribosomal RNA", at positions 527 to 896 of the family's 1533-position model. The record is from RNAcentral.
GUAGGUGGCAAGCGUUGUCCGGAAUUAUUGGGGCGUAAAGCGCGCGCAGGCGGUUCUUUAAGUCUGAUGUGAAAGCCCACGGGCUCAACCGUGGAGGGUCAUUGGAAACUGGAGAACUUGAGUACAGAAGAGGAAAGCGGAAUUCCACGUGUAGCGGCGAAAUGCGUAGAGAUGUGGAGGAACACCAGUGGCGAAGGCGGCUUUCUGGUCUGUAACUGACGCUGAGGCGCGAAAGCGUGGGGAGCAAACAGGAUUAGAUGCCCUGGUAGUCCACGCCGUAAACGAUGAGUGCUAAGUGUUAGGGGGUUUCCGCCCCUUAGUGCUGCAGCUAACGCAUUAAGCACUCCGCCUGGGGAGUACGGCCGCAAAGGCUG